This 253-nucleotide ribosomal RNA is filed under the name uncultured bacterium. RNAcentral's name for it is "partial 16S ribosomal RNA". It matches the Rfam family "Bacterial small subunit ribosomal RNA", at positions 524 to 776 of the family's 1533-position model. The record is from RNAcentral.
UACGAAGGGGGCUAGCGUUGCUCGGAAUCACUGGGCGUAAAGGGUGCGUAGGCGGGUCUUUAAGUCAGGGGUGAAAUCCUGGAGCUCAACUCCAGAACUGCCUUUGAUACUGAGGAUCUUGAGUUCGGGAGAGGUGAGUGGAACUGCGAGUGUAGAGGUGAAAUUCGUAGAUAUUCGCAAGAACACCAGUGGCGAAGGCGGCUCACUGGACGACUGUUGACGCUGAGGUACGAAAGCGUGGGGAGCAAACAGG